CCUAUAGCACAGUUGGUAGUGUGUCUGCUUAGCGUGCAGAAGGUCCGGGGUUCAAUNAACGAAUAUGGAA
This is a non-coding RNA of Amoeboaphelidium occidentale, 70 nucleotides long. The record is from the annotation of a GenBank genome assembly. NCBI's taxonomy places the organism in Eukaryota, Fungi, Aphelidiomycota, Aphelidea.